Molecule: unclassified non-coding RNA, 391 nt
Filed under: soil metagenome
Description: partial contains 5.8S ribosomal RNA, internal transcribed spacer 2, and large subunit ribosomal RNA
Rfam family: 5.8S ribosomal RNA (bases 1-122)
Source: RNAcentral
GAUGAAGAACGCAGCGAAAUGCAAUACUUGGUGUGAAUUGCAGAAUCCCGUGAACCAUCGAGUCUUUGAACGCAAGUUGCGCCCGAAGCCAUUAGGCCGAGGGCACGCCUGCCUGGGCGUCACACGUCGUUGCCCCCCCAUCUACUCCUUCGGGAUUGCGGGGGGCGGAUGAUGGCCUCCCGUGCGCCUCGUCGCGCGGUUGGCAUAAAUACCAAGUCCUCGGCGACGCACGCCACGACAAUCGGUGGUUGCGAAACCUCGGUUGCCCGUCGUGUGCGGUCGUCGCGCAUCGAGGGCUCGAAAAAAUUGCCGGGCUCCGGCUCGGCUUUCAACGCGACCCCAGGUCAGGCGGGGUUACCCGCUGAAUUUAAGCAUAUCAAUAAGCGGAGGA